UACGUAGGGCGCAAGCGUUGUCCGGAAUUAUUGGGCGUAAAGAGCUCGUAGGCGGUCUGUUACGUCCGCUGUGAAAACCCAGGGCUUAACCCUGGGCUUGCAGUGGAUACGGGUAGACUAGAGGCAGGUAGGGGAGAAUGGAAUUCCCGGUGUAGAGGUGAAAUUCGUAGAUAUCGGGAGGAACACCGGUGGCGAAGGCGGCGACCUGGGUAGAUACUGACGCUGAGGCGCGAAAGCGUGGGGAGCAAACAGG
This 253-nucleotide ribosomal RNA is filed under the name uncultured bacterium. RNAcentral's name for it is "partial 16S ribosomal RNA". It matches the Rfam family "Bacterial small subunit ribosomal RNA", at positions 524 to 776 of the family's 1533-position model. The record is from RNAcentral.